GAUGAACGCUGACAGAAUGCUUAACACAUGCAAGUCUACUUGACCCUUCGGGUGAUGGUGGCGGACGGGUGAGUAACGCGUAAAGAACUUGCCCUGCAGUCUGGGACAACAUUUGGAAACGAAUGCUAAUACCGGAUAUUAUGUGAGUUUCGCAUGAAAUUCAUAUGAAAGCUAUAUGCGCUGCAGGAGAGCUUUGCGUCCUAUUAGCUAGUUGGUGAGGUAACGGCUCACCAAGGCGAUGAUAGGUAGCCGGCCUGAGAGGGUGAACGGCCACAAGGGGACUGAGACACGGCCCUUACUCCUACGGGAGGCAGCAGUGGGGAAUAUUGGACAAUGGACCAAAAGUCUGAUCCAGCAAUUCUGUGUGCACGAUGAAGUUUUUCGGAAUGUAAAGUGCUUCCAGUUGGGACGAAGUAAGUGACGGUACCAACAGAAGAAGCGACGGCUAAAUACGUGCCAGCAGCCGCGGUAAUACGUAUGUCGCAAGCGUUAUCCGGAUUUAUUGGGCGUAAAGCGCGCCUAGGCGGUUUGGUAAGUCUGAUGUGAAAAUGCGGGGCUCAACUCCGUAUUGCGUUGGAAACUGCCAAACUAGAGUACUGGAGAGGUGGGCGGAACUACAAGUGUAGAGGUGAAAUUCGUAGAUAUUUGUAGGAAUGCCGAUGGGGGAGCCAGCCCACUGGACAGAUACUGACGCUAAAGCGCGAAAGCGUGGGUAGCAAACAGG
This 724-nucleotide ribosomal RNA is filed under the name uncultured bacterium. RNAcentral describes it as "bacterial SSU rRNA". It matches the Rfam family "Bacterial small subunit ribosomal RNA", at positions 28 to 776 of the family's 1533-position model. The record is from RNAcentral.